UAACCUGCCCAAGAGAUCGGGAUAACACCUGGAAACAGAUGCUAAUACCGGAUAACAACAGAUGAUGCCUAUCAACUGUUUAAAAGAUGGUUCUGCUAUCACUCUUGGAUGGACUUGCGGUGCAUUAGCUAGUUGGUAGGGUAACGGCCUACCAAGGCGAUGAUGCAUAGCCGAGUUGAGAGACUGAUCGGCCACAUUGGGACUGAGACACGGCCCAAACUCCUACGGGAGGCAGCAGUC
RNAcentral lists this ribosomal RNA (240 nucleotides) under uncultured Lactobacillus sp. RNAcentral's name for it is "partial 16S ribosomal RNA". It matches the Rfam family "Bacterial small subunit ribosomal RNA", at positions 122 to 355 of the family's 1533-position model. The record is from RNAcentral. Lineage: Bacteria; Bacillati; Bacillota; Bacilli; Lactobacillales; Lactobacillaceae.